Molecule: ribosomal RNA, 377 nt
Filed under: uncultured organism
Description: bacterial SSU rRNA
Rfam family: Bacterial small subunit ribosomal RNA
Source: RNAcentral
CAGAGGAGCCAAGCGUUGUCCGGAUUGACUGGGCGUAAAGCGCACGCAGGCGGAUGCGCGCGUGGGGUGUGAAAUCUGGCCGCUUAACGGCCAGGCGCCAUCCCAUACGGCGCAUCUGGAGCCUUGCAGAGGUCGGUAGAAUUGCCGGUGUAGUGGUGAAAUGCGUAGAGAUCGGCAGGAACACCCAGGGGAAAACCAGCCGACUGGGCAAGUGCUGACGCUGAGAUGCGAGAGCGUGGGGAGCGAACCGGAUUAGAUACCCGGGUAGUCCACGCCGUAAACGAUGGCCACUCGGCCUUUGAGAACGGAAUCUCCGUCCGUGGGAGCCUUAGCAAACGCGGGAAGUGGCCCGCCUAGGAACUACGAGCGCAAGCUUA